CCUACGGGUGGCAGCAGUGGGGAAUAUUGGGCAAUGUGCGCAAGCCUGACCCAGCAACGCCGCGUGAAGGAAGAAGGCGUUCGGGGUGUAAACUUCUUUUAAGGGGGAAGAGCAGAAGACGGUACCCCUUGAAUAAGCCACGGCUAACUACGUGCCAGCAGCCGCGGUAGUACGUAGGUGGCAAGCGUUGUCCGGAUUUACUGGGUGUAAAGGGCGUGCAGCCGGAGAGACAAGUCAGAUGUGAAAUCCAAGGGCUCAACCCGUGAACUGCAUUUGAAACUGUUUCCCUUGAGUGUCGGAGAGGUAAUCGGAAUUCCUUGUGUAGCGGUGAACUGCGUAGAUAUAAGGAAGAACACCAGUGGCGAAGGCGGAUUACUGGACGAUAACUGACGGUGAGGCGCGAAAGCGUGGGGAGCAAACAGGAUUAGAUACCCCAGUAGUC
Molecule: ribosomal RNA, 442 nt
Filed under: uncultured bacterium
Lineage: Bacteria
Description: partial 16S ribosomal RNA
Rfam family: Bacterial small subunit ribosomal RNA
Source: RNAcentral